GCAUAACGCGAAGAACCUUACCAAGGCUUGACAUAUACGAGAACGGGCCAGAAAUGGUCAACUCUUUGGACACUCGUAAACAGGUGGUGCAUGGUUGUCGUCAGCUCGUGUCGUGAGAUGUUGGGUUAAGUCCCGCAACGAGCGCAACCCUCGUUCUAUGUUGCCAGCACGUAAUGGUGGGAACUCAUGGGAUACUGCCGGGGUCAACUCGGAGGAAGGUGGGGAUGACGUCAAAUCAUCAUGCCCCUUAUGUCUUGGGCUUCACGCAUGCUACAAUGGCCGGUACAAAGGGCUGCAAUACCGCGAGGUGGAGCGAAUCCCAAAAAGCCGGUCCCAGUUCGGAUUGAGGUCUGCAACUCGACCUCAUGAAGUCGGAGUCGCUAGUAAUCGCAGAUCAGCAACGCUGCGGUGAAUACGUUCCCGGGUCUUGUACACACCG
This 439-nucleotide ribosomal RNA is filed under the name uncultured bacterium. Its description in RNAcentral is "bacterial SSU rRNA". It matches the Rfam family "Bacterial small subunit ribosomal RNA", at positions 954 to 1392 of the family's 1533-position model. The record is from RNAcentral.